Molecule: ribosomal RNA, 347 nt
Filed under: uncultured bacterium
Lineage: Bacteria
Description: partial 16S ribosomal RNA
Rfam family: Bacterial small subunit ribosomal RNA
Source: RNAcentral
CCUACGGGUGGCAGCAGUGAGGAAUAUUGGUCAAUGGGCGCUAGCCUGAACCAGCCAAGUAGCGUGAAGGAUGAAGGCCCUAUGGGUGGUAAACUUCUUUUAUAUGGGAAUAAAGUGCAGUAGGUAUACUGCUUUGCAUGUACCUGAUGAAUAAGGAUCGGCUAACUCCGUGCCAGCAGCCGCGGUAAUACGGAGGAUCCGAGCGUUAGCCGGAUUUAUUGGGUUUAAAGGGAACGUAGGCGGGUUGUUAAGUCCGUUGUGAACGUUUGCGGCUCAACCGGAAAAUUGCAGUUGCUACGGGCAUCCUUGCUUACAGUAGAUGUAGGCGGCCUUCGUGUUGUAGCGCU